RNAcentral lists this ribosomal RNA (725 nucleotides) under uncultured Sulfitobacter sp. RNAcentral's name for it is "bacterial SSU rRNA". It matches the Rfam family "Bacterial small subunit ribosomal RNA", at positions 107 to 868 of the family's 1533-position model. Lineage: Bacteria; Pseudomonadati; Pseudomonadota; Alphaproteobacteria; Rhodobacterales; Roseobacteraceae. The record is from RNAcentral.
UUAGUAACGCGUGGGAACAUACCCUUUUCUACGGAAUAGCCUCGGGAAACUGAGAGUAAUACCGUAUAAGCCCUUCGGGGGAAAGAUUUAUCGGGAAAGGAUUGGCCCGCGUUAGAUUAGAUAGUUGGUGGGGUAAUGGCCUACCAAGUCUACGAUCUAUAGCUGGUUUUAGAGGAUGAUCAGCAACACUGGGACUGAGACACGGCCCAGACUCCUACGGGAGGCAGCAGUGGGGAAUCUUAGACAAUGGGCGCAAGCCUGAUCUAGCCAUGCCGCGUGUGUGAUGAAGGUCUUAGGAUCGUAAAGCACUUUCGCCAGGGAUGAUAAUGACAGUACCUGGUAAAGAAACCCCGGCUAACUCCGUGCCAGCAGCCGCGGUAAUACGGAGGGGGUUAGCGUUGUUCGGAAUUACUGGGCGUAAAGCGUACGUAGGCGGAUCAGAAAGUUAGGGGUGAAAUCCCGAGGCUCAACCUCGGAACUGCCUCUAAAACUCCUGGUCUUGAGUUCGAGAGAGGUGAGUGGAAUUCCAAGUGUAGAGGUGAAAUUCGUAGAUAUUUGGAGGAACACCAGUGGCGAAGGCGGCUCACUGGCUCGAUACUGACGCUGAGGUACGAAAGUGUGGGGAGCAAACAGGAUUAGAUACCCUGGUAGUCCACACCGUAAACGAUGAAUGCCAGUCGUCGGGCAGUAUACUGUUCGGUGACACACCUAACGGAUUAAGCAUC